AAAGUGUGCUUCCAUCUGCGUUGUAGCCAUGGAUUUCAUUCUGCUAAUCGUAUGGCUGAUCUCGGUGUUCGGAAUUGGUGUGUACUUGCGACGAUGAUGCUUGUCCUUCUUCGAAAAAUACUUGAUCUUGAGAUAGGGACAUUUGUCCUUGAGACGAUGACGCUUGUCCUUCUUUCACAGAUACUUGCUCGGCGGACUCUUGCUCGGCUAAGCACUCAACAGAUGUUGGUAGUGCAUUGGUCGAUGGUUCAACGACGAGCAGCGUUAGCACGGGAUUGCCGUCAUUUGUUCUUUGCUUUUUCGAGACUUAAACAUUGAAAGUCUCAUCUUGCAGAAUCUUUUCCUUUUUUAAUACUUGAACUUUGGGCUCGCAAGGAGAUUGAUGCUCGUUUGAUCGAUGCUCUCGACAGGGAUAACUCGACGGAGGUCGGGGUCAAAUGUUGAGGCGAGGACGGCCAGGGCGUCAGCCGGUGCGUUGUCGGUGCGGGGGAUUUUUGUUAAUUCGAAUGACUUGAACGAGUCAGAUAGAUCUUGGACGACUUUAAGGUAAGCGUCCAUUCGGUCGUUCCUGACUUCAUAAUCACCGCUGAACUGGUGGGUCACCAGCUGCCAGUCUCAUUCCUGCGAUGAGGGUUUCGUAUUCGGCCUCGUUGUUUGAGGCAGGAAAGGCGAGCCGGAAUGACUGCUCGAGCACUUCACUUGUUGGCGAAACGAGGUGUAUGCCAAUCCAGAGCUGUGUCGUGAGGACGUGCCGUCAACGUGCAACGUCCACUUCUCUUCUCUCGGGGCGCCGGACUCUAGUUAAGGGGAUAGCUAGACCAAGAAGUCAGCAAGUACUUGAGAUUUCGCACAAGUGCGAUCCUCGUAUUCAAUAUUGUAUACGCUUAAUUCCACCGCCCAUUUGGCGAGGCGGCCUUGUUUACUUGGGCUGUGCAGAAUGGUCCGCAGGGGUUGAUUGUUCAAGACUUCAAUAGUGUGGGAUUGGAAAUAUGGUCGUAGCUUCCUAGCUGAGAUAACUACAGCGUAAGCGAGCUUCUCCAACGUGGGAUAGCGGAGCUUGGCUCCGACGAGACUUUUACUUACAUAGAAAAUUGGGUGCUGUUCUCCCCUGUCCUCCUUGAUCAAUACGCCACUAACUGCCGAACUGGAUACGACAAUGUACAUAUAUAGCAUUUCGCCCUGAUCGGGCUUUGCUAGGACGGGUGGAGUAGCUAAAUAGUUCUUGAGUUCCUGGAAGGCGGACUCACACUUAUCAUCCCACUCGAACUUCUUGUUGUUGCGAAGCAACUAGUAAAACGGUGGACACUUAUCAGUAGAACGUGAUAUAAAUCGGUUGAGUGCAGCGAUUCGCGCAGUAAGGCGUUGAACUUCGCGAGUAUUAAGCAGGGACGGAAGGUUAGUAAUCGCCGAUAUCUGUUUCGGGUUUGCUUCGAUACCCCUCUUCAUGACGGGUUAUCGUAGGAACUCUCCAGAAGUCAUGCCGAAAGAGCACUUGGCUGGGUUCAGGUUCAUAUUAUAUAUGUUAAGUACUUCGAAACAUUGAGCGAGGUGCAAGACAUGAUCACUGGCACGGGUUGAUUUGACCAGCAUAUCAUCGAUGUACACUUCCAUAGUUUGCUCUAGCUGCUCGGCAAACAUAUGGUUAAAAAGACGCUGGUAGGUCGCACCAGCGUUUUUAGGCCGAAUGGCAUGACCUUGUAGCAAUAAGUUCCGUGAUCAGUGAUGAAAGCUGUUUUUCUCCUGAUCGUUCUUAUGCUUCAUAAUCUGGUUAUACCCCGAAUAUGCAUCCAUGAACGAUAGAAGUUCGUUCCCUGCGGUUGCCUCGACUAGUUGGUCGAUUUGCGGUAGGGGAAAGCUAUCCUUCGAGCACGCCUUGUUGAGAUCAGGGAAAUUGACGUACACCCGCCAUUUGCCGUUCUUUUUCUUUACCACUACUGGAUUGCUUAACUAGUCGGGGAACUUAACCUCUCUAAUGGAUCCAACAUCGAGCAACUUUUUGACUUCCUCAUUGACGGUGGUAGUGCGCUCUGGACCGAGGUUUCGUCGCUUUUGUUUGAUUGGCUUGAAUGUCGAAUCCACGUUGAGCUCGUGGCAGGUUAUGAUUGGGUCUAUUCCAGUCAUGUUGCUCAUAUUCCAUGCGAAGGUUGUGGCGUUCUGACAUAGGAACUUCACGAGCUUGUCCUUAAUGAACUGUGGCAGGUUGGCACUGAUCCCCAUGCAACAACUUGUGUCGUUCGAUAAUGAAGCAGGUUCUCGCUACCAGUGGAUCUCCUCGUAGCGUAAAUACUCCUCUAGAGGUCGGGAACUUUAGGCAUUGAUGAUAAGUCGAUGCCACUGCUUACAUUUUAUGCAGCGAGGGCGUGCCGUGAAUGACAUUGUACACGAUCGGCUUGUUGACGAUAGCGAAAUUGAUGCCCACCGUCAUAACCGUGUCACCAUCGAAUCCGGUGAGAGGUUGGACAUCGUGCUCGGCCGUCCGUAGGUCAACCUCCAUUUGGAUGAGCACAUCCUUAAAAAUAAUAUUGACCAAGCUGCCUCUGUCGAUCAAGAUUUUAGUGACCACGCUUUCACCAAUUUAUAUCUAGACAACCAGCGGGUCGUUGUGCGGCGCACUUAGACCUGCUGUGUCUGCCUCAGUAAAUACAAUCAGAAAGUUCGUUGUAGGCUGCGUACUUUGUGCUAACCACUCCCGUUAAACCUCCACUCCCCGCCGGUAAGCUUUGAUUGAACGGACCGAAUCUCGGCAGGUCGCCAGACCGCCCAUGAUCAUAUUAAUUUGUCGGUGGCGCGGGGGCAGAGUCUCGGUUCCGUGUUGUGGCGCGGGGGUAGUGUCAUACCGCUUACUCGGAUUUUUGUUCUCGGGGUUAAAGAAGUUGUUUUCCUUGUGGGCUGCUAUUUGUCUCUGCUCGAGGUCGACGUCGAUUUGGCCCUCUUUGAAUUUGUCGAGCAAAACGGACUAGAGAGUGCGGCACUCACAAUACUUAUUUCUACCUUUACCCAAUGGAUCCCGGACCCACUUGUUAUUCCAAGGUUUUGAUGAGGACACUUGGGGAUUUUGGUUGCUAACAGCGAAUGCUUGACCUUUCUUUCGUUUUUCUAAUUUAUCGGAAUACUAUUUGUCAAAGUGUUGACGAGGCUCUUGAUGCCCUCUCUUCGUCUACCUUGAUUUAUUUGUUAGCGCGGUGCAAUGCAUCGUCCAAAGUUAGAGGCUCGUGGAUUAUGAUGUCUUCCCUAAAUCGGGAUCCGUGAGCAAGAGCGUUACGAAGGGAAGAGACUGCCGUAUCGUCGGCUAUUAAAAGCUUCAAAACGAUCCUUUUGAACCUUUCCAUAAAGUCCCGAAGCGAUUCGUCAUUCUGCUGGAACAUAUUCUAGAGAUCAGCAUUUGAGGCACCUCUAAUCAUAAACGUAGAGUGAUGCUGGAGAAAGGCGGUGGUGAUUUUGUGAUAGCUUCCUAUCGAGUUCAUGAGCUAAAUUCUCGACAAACAACUGGCAGCAGCCAGCUUCGUAUUCAUCUUCGCUGAAAUGAGCUCGGCUAAUUGCAAAGCACAUUAAAGUUAAAAAUGGUUUCAGAUCAUCCAAUCCGUUGUAUGGGAUAAACUUGAACUUGUUCAUGUAACGGACGCGAACGCGGGAGAUCCUUGCCGUAAACAGCGAGCAUUGGACUUCCUCGAGUACUCGAUAAGGAUUGGUGGACUCUUGAGGAGAUUUCAUGGACCAUCGUCUCUAAACGUCGUAUGGUUUCGUCCUUGAGAUCUUCGUCAAACUGUCGGCACGGCAGUGUUGGAGUCGGGGGACUCCCGCUUCGCCGGCCCCGGCUGUCCCGAUGCUCGUCAGUUGGCUCCUCUCUGUUGUGUCUGUCGACGGAUCCUACGAUUAUAGACGCGGGGCGGCGUCUGUGGCUCUCAUAUCGGUCUUUCACAAAUAGCUGCGGAGGGGCAGGAGGAUUCUCGUUUUGAUCGGCAGGAUUGCUCUCAUUUCGGCGCUCGCUCCUCCUUCGCUGGAGCCUGCUGAUCUGAUUUUGGGAGGCCUCUUGUGCAGCUGCAAUCACCUCGAGCCGUUUGUUUGUUCUGUCGAGUUGAUCGAGUAUGGCUUGCAUCAGGUCGUCGAGUUCACUCCUUCGUGUUGUGGGCAAGGCGUUUGGGAGAGCAGCAGUGUUGGUGACCAGUUUUUCUGCGACAAGCCCAGGCUCGGCGUGUGCAGCGACGAGAGGUUCAUAGGGCACGUCGGGCGCUGUCGGAGAGGUUGUGUUGUUCGGUAGGGAGCCUUCGAUUGAGGUCGUCGUGGAAGGUAGAGGCGGGACAGUGUGUGUUCUUGUUCACCCCCAUCGUUGCUCCAUUGUCUGUUCGGACGUGAUGUUGAGAUCUUCACUGGAGUUCGUCAUUGGUCUUGAAUCUUCGUGGAAAUGCGGACUGUUGGUCUUGAUUCGUAAAAAAGAAGCGCUCUACUCUAGCCCCACGGUGGGCGCCAAUUGUUUGUACCGGGGAUUGCAAUACUAAGUAAAUUAGGUUUCGAGGAAAGAGUGAAGCUAGUUCUUUUAUUAACGAGGAAACGUGAGGUCGUCACUAACAGAGAGUCAAGAUCGAGCUCUUCAGUUCACAAGAGAAUUAACAAGCUAAUAAUGACGAGCUAAAAAGUGGAAACGGAUUACACAUAAAACAAUAACAGAUAUCGAUGCAAAGUACUGCUCUCCGGGUAAUGUCAAGGGAUCAGGAUGAUGAUCCCAAUAAAUGCUGCUUCCUUUUAUAGGCGACUGUUGACCUAGGACUCCCUAUGGUGUCCAACGCGGAUUUCCGAAACUACCCUCUAUGGAGAGUUAAUGACUUUCUCCCAAUUUUGUCGGGCCGAGAUCACAAUUAAUGAGUCUUGUUCGGCCGAGUGGCAUAUUGGGCGCAGCCCAUGUCCAACAAUACUUAGCAGUUGGCGUACGCGCCCAUGUAUUGUUGUAGGCUGCUCCACAGUAGGCUGCUUAGCAGUUGUAGGCUGCUCCACAGUAGGUUGCUCCACAGUAGGCUGCUCUACCUCAGUUAUAGUAUCAUUGUAGGCUGCUCUACAAUGAUACUAGUCAACCUUAUUUACUUAGUAUUGAGCAAGAUAGGAUACAGAUGUGUGAUGGCACAAAAUCAAUUUCUCAUGUUUCUCAGAAUCUGGCAAUUUAAAAUCAAUGGGUGAUUCUAACAAACAUAUUAAUGGCAUAUCGGGAGUUAAGUGACAAAAUGGGGGAAAAAUUGCCAGAUUUUGAGAAACAUGAGAAAUUGAUUUUGUGCCAUCACACAUUUAUGUUCUAUCUUGGACGCUCCUAGUAGGCUUCUUUACAAUGAUAUUGUAACUGAUUCAUUCAUGAUUGAUAAGAAGUUUGUCAAGUGUCCUGGUCCCAACUGCAACAUGCUUUGUUUUUCCAGUGACGUUGAGUGUGUCUUUCAUGUCAAUUGCCGCGUUUGUCAGUCCACCUUCUGUCCAAAGGCUCUAGUCAACAUGAGCGUACUUUUUUCUCCAUGAGUGUGGUAAGCGUCAAUCUUGGGGCAUCUCUCAGACUAUAUACAUCAGUUAUCUUGACAAGAUUGGAAGGUAUAUUCCUAAUGAGCACCCUCAACCACAAAUACAAGACUUGAAAAAAAAAUUAAAAUAUUGAAAGGAGUUAAUAAGCAGGUGAUCAUAAGUAUAAGCAUAUGUUAAAGAGAGAGCUCAUAUAACUAACAAUACCUCUCUUUGUCUUGUGGAGGCAAACUUGAACUUGACAUUUCUGCAAGAGACAAUAAAUGCAGCUAGAUGCCACCAAUUCCUACGAGUAGACCUUUAUAAUACCGCAAAUCCUUAAUCACUCGACUAAUAAGAACAAGAACAAGGGAUUCUUCUAAUAACAAUGAGAAUGGUGUAGCAGCGCACUCAAGGACACAAAGCUAGUUCCUAAAAGAUUACAUUGAUAUCUCAAUAGUAACUCUAUUAUGGAAGAAUAUAAGAAAAUAAUCCCUAGGAACUUGAUGUUCAUCGUUUGUGAGAAUAAAUUGGUUCCAAACCU
Non-coding RNA from Camelina sativa (false flax), 6016 nucleotides. The record is from RefSeq and is a predicted model, not a curated record. Lineage: Eukaryota; Viridiplantae; Streptophyta; Magnoliopsida; Brassicales; Brassicaceae.